GCAGUCGUGGCCGAGUGGUUAAGGCGAUGGACCAUUGGGGUCUCCCCGCACAGGCUGGAAUCCUGUCAACUGCA
Molecule: transfer RNA, 74 nt
Filed under: Ixodes scapularis (black-legged tick)
Lineage: Eukaryota; Metazoa; Arthropoda; Arachnida; Ixodida; Ixodidae
Description: tRNA-Undet for anticodon ???
Rfam family: tRNA
About the family: Transfer RNA (tRNA) molecules are approximately 80 nucleotides in length. Their secondary structure includes four short double-helical elements and three loops (D, anti-codon, and T loops).
Source: RNAcentral